GGAUUUGAUGAGAUGCGUGUCUUUGAAGUCGGGGUUUGGGGGGGAAAUUGGGCUUGAUUUAGGAAGAGUGUGCGAGAAAUAAGGGUGUUAGGGUUUGAAUGUGAGUUGCGGUUUGGGUCAUGUGUGAAUAGAGGUAGGAAGUUGGUGGAAAUUGUUGGGGUUUAAAAUUAUUGCUACUUUCUCCUCUCUAGGGAAUAACCGUAAUCACCUUGUGGCUGUG
Molecule: long non-coding RNA, 220 nt
Filed under: Glycine max (soybean)
Lineage: Eukaryota; Viridiplantae; Streptophyta; Magnoliopsida; Fabales; Fabaceae
Description: long non-coding RNA (GMAX_LNC003682)
Source: RNAcentral